This 944-nucleotide long non-coding RNA is filed under the name Felis catus (domestic cat). RNAcentral describes it as "lncRNA (ENSFCAG00000043194.2)". The record is from RNAcentral. Lineage: Eukaryota; Metazoa; Chordata; Mammalia; Carnivora; Felidae.
AGUCACUGUGUGGGCCUUGGUGGGCCUUCCUCCCUCCACCUCCGUGGGUUCCCCGCUGAUGACAGAAGAGCUUGGCUGGCCCCUGCAAGCUAACUGCCCCCAGGACCCUGUGCCCCAACCCUGACUGGAUGCCCCACUCCUCAGUAAUCCCCAGAGCUGGUGGGGAGCCAGGCACCGGGAGCCAAGCAUUAUGGAUUAUGCUCCAAACCAAGAAGGACAACUAACAACUCAGGACGCAGCUCCACUCUCACCGGUAUUGAUCCCCGCCCUGCGGUGGCAUUGAGACCAGUGAGGACCAGACUCGCUUGUGGAAGGAGACAGCAUUUCCUGCUUCCCAGACACUGAAGGUUUCCAUCGACGCAGAACGUCUCUGGACAGAAGGAGGACUCUGGGUCCACACCAAGCGACCACCGCGUCUGGCUCAGCUGCCCAGCCCCCGGCAGAAACUCCUCGGAAGUCUGCAAAACACGGCCGCGGCUUCUCUUGAACAUCAGCAGGGCGUUCCAGUCUGCGUCUUUACAUUUUUCUCAUUUCGGGGAGGGAUCUGAGGCCUCCUUCCACCACCAUCUCCGCGCACACAGCCCACGCCUUGUAAGUAACGUGCUCCGUCAGCUAAGACCCUCUGAAUACUUCUUCACCAUGCGCGUCGAUGGCUAGGGUUUGAGGAGUCAUUCCCCCCAACCCCCUGUGAACGGUAACAAGGGGCAAACAUAUUUUUCUUAUGAUAAAGUCGAUGGUAUGUCUCUGGGAAAUGUGGAGAUAAAGAAGGCCCAGCUCCUUUGUCUGAAGAAGGGAAAACUAACAGCCACUUCAGGUUCCAUGGCUUGAAUUCAUUAAGACAAUGAAUAUCCGCAAAGCCUUUCGAUCAGUGCCGGAGGAGAUCAGUGAGUGAGGCUUAGGCUUUCUUUAUCAGAAUAAAAGUUGUCACUCGUAUUCCUGUUACA